UAAAAGAAGAAGAAAAAAAGCA
This 22-nucleotide small RNA is filed under the name Arabidopsis thaliana (thale cress). RNAcentral describes it as "ATSL240330". The record is from RNAcentral. Lineage: Eukaryota; Viridiplantae; Streptophyta; Magnoliopsida; Brassicales; Brassicaceae.